Molecule: ribosomal RNA, 387 nt
Filed under: uncultured archaeon
Lineage: Archaea
Description: bacterial SSU rRNA
Rfam family: Archaeal small subunit ribosomal RNA
Source: RNAcentral
GCCAAGAUCUNUCCGCAGAUCACGGGACUAUAGGGAGACCGCUGGCGCGAAGUCAGAGGAAGGCGAGGGCAACGGUAGGUCAGUAUGCUCCGAAUGCUAUGGGCUACACGCGCAAUACAAAGGACGGGACAAUGGGCUGCAACUCCGAGAGGAAUGACGCUAUCCCGAAACCCGUUCGUAGUUCGGAUUGAGGGCUGUAACUCGCCCUCAUGAAGCUGGAUUAGGUAGUAAUCGCGUCUCAAAAAGGCGCGGUGAAUAUGCCCCUGCUCCUUGCACACACCGCCCGUCAAACCAUCUUAGUUGUGGGUGGGUGAGGCUGCCUCUCUUUCGAGAUGUGGUAUUCGAGCCUGCCUUCGACAAGGAGGGUUAAGUCGUAACAAGGUAACC